RNAcentral lists this ribosomal RNA (163 nucleotides) under Polycarpon tetraphyllum. RNAcentral describes it as "5.8S ribosomal RNA". It matches the Rfam family "5.8S ribosomal RNA". Rfam says of the family: 5.8S ribosomal RNA (5.8S rRNA) is a component of the large subunit of the eukaryotic ribosome. It is transcribed by RNA polymerase I as part of the 45S precursor that also contains 18S and 28S rRNA. Lineage: Eukaryota; Viridiplantae; Streptophyta; Magnoliopsida; Caryophyllales; Caryophyllaceae. The record is from RNAcentral.
UAAACGACUCUCGGCAACGGAUAUCUCGGCUCUCGCAUCGAUGAAGAACGUAGCGAAAUGCGAUACUUGGUGUGAAUUGCAGAAUCCCGUGAACCAUCGAGUCUUUGAACGCAAGUUGCGCCCGAGGCUUUUAGCUGAGGGCACGUCUGCCUGGGCGUCACGC